This 681-nucleotide ribosomal RNA is filed under the name uncultured Bacteroidota bacterium. RNAcentral's name for it is "bacterial SSU rRNA". It matches the Rfam family "Bacterial small subunit ribosomal RNA", at positions 70 to 750 of the family's 1533-position model. Lineage: Bacteria; Pseudomonadati; Bacteroidota. The record is from RNAcentral.
AAAUAAGUAGCAAUACUUAUGAGAGUGGCGCACGGGUGAGUAACGCGUAUGCAACCUACCUAUAACUGGGGGAUAGCUCAGAGAAAUCUGAAUUAAUACCGCAUAACAUUAUUGAAUGGCAUCAUUUGAUAAUCAAAACUCCGGUGGUUAUAGAUGGGCAUGCGUGACAUUAGCUAGUUGGUAAGGUAACGGCUUACCAAGGCUACGAUGUCUAGGGGGUCUGAGAGGAUGAUCCCCCACACUGGUACUGAGACACGGACCAGACUCCUACGGGAGGCAGCAGUAAGGAAUAUUGGUCAAUGGACGAAAGUCUGAACCAGCCAUGCCGCGUGAAGGAUGACGGCCCUAUGGGUUGUAAACUUCUUUUAUACGGGAAGAAACCCUGAUACGUGUAUCAGGUUGACGGUACUGUAAGAAUAAGGACCGGCUAACUUCGUGCCAGCAGCCGCGGUAAUACGAAGGGUCCAAGCGUUAUCCGGAUUUAUUGGGUUUAAAGGGUGCGUAGGCGGCUUAUUAAGUCAGUGGUGAAAGACUUCAGCUUAACUGAAGAACUGCCAUUGAUACUGAUGAGCUUGAGUACAGUUGAGGUGGGCGGAAUGUGUCAUGUAGCGGUGAAAUGCUUAGAUAUGACACAGAACACCGAUUGCGAAGGCAGCUCGCUAAACUGUAACUGACGCUGAG